UGUUGUAGAUCGUGUUGUGGGUAAUGGGUGGUGCACAGGGAAUAGGUGUGUUGUAGAUCGUUGUGGGUUGCGUGUAAAGGAGGAGAAGAGGUAAGAUGGACUGCGCGACGAGAGGGAAGAGAUAGGUCUCACGGGUUCUUGCCGAACCGCAGCGGGGCGGUGAGGACAACACGCGCCGGCACCACCGAACCUCUUGCGCGUUGCUACCGCGGAACCUCGAGGAGACAACAGCAGGCUAGACCAGCGGGCGGGUCGCGAGGUCUAGCCUGGUUAUAGGAGGGCCGCUCCGAAGGAGGUAGGAGGGCAGGCUCCUUGCCGCUGGCGGAAGAGUGGGAGUCGUCGCCGGCAUCGGUAGAGGCGGCGGCAGGGCCUGCCUGCUGUCCCGAUCCUGGCCGUCUCCGGCUUCUGCCGACGGCCGCCGCGUACUGGCUUACCCGCGCACGCAGAUCUAUUCUAUGUGUUUAUUUCCUAACACCCAACUUAAGAUUGAUUACGUCCACACAAAGAGGGACGGAGAGGAGGAAGGAAAGACAGGGGGAAUGGAGACAGAGAGAGUGUCCACGUCGUGGCGGCAGCGGUACCUCUCUGGGACAGCCUCGAGUGGUAGAGCUAGCUUUGGCCGCUCCUUGCGGUGGCGGUACUUGAACCUCAAGUUCGGGGCAGCGACCUGGAGGAGGGCGCGGAGGAUCUAGCGGAGGUGCUGCAUGAACGUUGUCCUAGGCCGGCGGCGGCGCGGAGGAGCCGGCCUAAACCGGCCUCUAGCGGCGGCGGCACGGGCCGCAGCAGACGUAGCGCCGUCAGAGCUGUAGGUUGAGCGAAGCGAGCGGUUAUUGGUGAAACAACUUAUAUUUUUUGUGUCCCAGGAAAAACAUUCUUGCUUUGCAAAAGAGUGUUAUCGUGAAGUCUAACAUGACGCCCAACUUAUAGGUUUUAUCCUGCCUGAAAAAAUAUUUUAACGGUGCUGCCUGCUGGUCUUCGUUACGCACCAAAUAAUCAUCCCUUUCUUUAUAUAUAUCAUUUAAUUGUCUGUUUGUCUUCGUUCGUUCACGAGUAGGGUGUAUUUUUAACAUUAGCCACGUAACUAGGUCGUCGAAGCCAGCCAGGUCGUGUUGUAGAUCGUGUUGUGGGUAAUGGGUGGUGCACAGGGAAUAGGUGUGUUGUAGAUCGUUGUGGGUGGCGUGUAAAGGAGGAGAAGAGGUAAGAUGGACUGCGCGACGAGAGGGAAGAGAUAGGUCUGACGGGUUCUUGCCGAACCGCAGCGGGGCGGUGAGGACAUCACGCGCCGGCACCACCGAACCUCUUGCGCGUUGCUACCGCGGAACCUCGAGGAGAUAACAGCAGGCUAGACCGGCGGGCGGGUCGCGAGGUCUAGCCCGGUUAUAGGAGGGCCGCUCCGAAGGAGGUAGGAGGGCAGGCUCCUUGCCGCUGGCGGAAGAGUGGGAGUCGUCGCCGGCAUCGGUAGAGGCGGCGGCAGGGCCUGCCUGCUGUCCCGAUCCUGACCGCCUCCGGCUUCUGCCGACGGCUGCCGCGUACUGGCUUACCCGCGCACGCAGAUCUAUUCUAUGUGUUUAUUUCCUAACACCCAACUUAAGAUUGAUUACGUCCACACAAAGAGGGACGGAGAGGAGGAAGGAAAGACAGGGGGAAUGGAGACAGAGAGAGUGUCCACGUCGUGGCGGCAGCGGUACCUCUCUGGGACAGCCUCGAGCGGUAGAGCUAGCUUUGGCCGCUCCUUGCGGUGGCGGUACUUGAACCUCAAGUUCGGGGCGGCGACCUGGAGGAGGGCGCGGAGGAUCUAGCGGAGGUGCGGCAUGAACGUUGUCCUAGGCCGGCGGCGACGCGGAGGAGCCGGCCUAGACCGGCUUCUAGCGGCGGCGGCACGGGCCGCAGCAGACGUAGCGCCGUCAGAGCUGUAGGUUGAGCGAAGCGAGCGGUUAUUGGUGAAACAACUUAUAUUUUUUGUGUCCCAGGAAAAACAUUCUUGCUUUACAAAGGAGU
Molecule: ribosomal RNA, 1998 nt
Filed under: Triticum aestivum (bread wheat)
Lineage: Eukaryota; Viridiplantae; Streptophyta; Magnoliopsida; Poales; Poaceae
Description: partial small subunit ribosomal RNA
Source: RNAcentral